RNAcentral lists this ribosomal RNA (490 nucleotides) under uncultured bacterium. Its description in RNAcentral is "partial 16S ribosomal RNA". It matches the Rfam family "Bacterial small subunit ribosomal RNA", at positions 28 to 507 of the family's 1533-position model. The record is from RNAcentral.
GAUGAACGCUAGCGAUAGGCUUAACACAUGCAAGUCGAGGGGCAGCAUGGUCUUAGCUUGCUAAGACUGAUGGCGACCGGCGCACGGGUGCGUAACGCGUCUGCAACUUGCCUCACAGAGGGGGAUAACCCGUCGAAAGACGGACUAAUACCGCGUACACUCUAUUUUGGGCAUCCAAGGUAGAGGAAAUGAAAUUCGCUGUGAGAUAGGCAUGCGUCCCAUUAGCUAGUUGGUGAGGUAACGGCUCACCAAGGCGACGAUGGGUAGGGGAACUGAGAGGUUGAACCCCCAGACUUGUACUGAGACACGGACCAGACUCGUACGGGAGGGAGCAGUGAGGAAGAGUGAUCAAUGGGCGAGAGCCUGAACCAGCCAAGUCGCGUGAAGGAUGACUGUCGUAGGGAUUGUAAACUUCUUGUGUAGGGGAAUAAAGAGGGGCACGUGUGCCCCAGUGAAUGUACCCUACGAAUAAGCAUCGGCUAACUCCGUG